UUUGUGUUUGUUUCAUCAUAUGCAGUUUGAAAACACACCAAAAAGUCAAACUAAUAAUUACCACAUGAUCAUUUUAAAUGGUGAUUUACACAUAUAAUUUUCUUAUGUUGUGAAAUAGAAAUUGUGGCUUUACACAAACAUUCAUUCUUUAACUGUGCAUCUUAAAUUCUUUUCAUUUCUCUCUACAGGUAAAUGGAAGUGGAUCAGCUUCAGCUCCAGUUUUUACUACGUCUCUAAUGAUUAUAAGAGCUGGGAGGAGAGCAGACAGAACUGCAGGGACGAAGGAACAGAUCUGAUAAUCAUCAACAGCAGAGAGGAGCAGGAGUUCAUCAGUAAACACAUCAGCAGUAUCAGUGGGGUUUGGAUUGGUCUGAGUGACAGAGAUAAAGAGGGAGAGUGGAAAUGGGUGGACGCUUCACCACUGACCUUCAAGGACUGGGGUCAGUGGGAACCGGGUGGUAAAGAGAAAGAGAAUUGUGUUGAAAUGUACAAAUCUUCAAAAAGCAUAAUCUGGAAUGACAAGAACUGCUCUGAAAAACUAAACUGUAUCUGUGAGAAAAAUGUUUCUUCCUGAAGUGAAAAUCACUUUUACACAACUUGAGCUGAUUAUAUUCAGUAUAAAGACAAUAUUUGGAUGUGAA
Silurus meridionalis is the source of this 641-nucleotide long non-coding RNA. RefSeq lists it as uncharacterized. The record is from RefSeq and is a predicted model, not a curated record. The transcript is spliced from 3 exons. NCBI's taxonomy places the organism in Eukaryota, Metazoa, Chordata, Actinopteri, Siluriformes, Siluridae.